CUCUCUAAUAAACAUGGUCUAAAAUUCGUUGGUAAGAAACGUCGUUCCUUUCCCAUUCUUUGCGAGUUUCCCUGAGAAGGUCUUCUAAGGUUACGAUCACGGUGGCCUCUAUUCUGGCGGAGCUAAACUGUCACCCUUCUCAGAUUCUGAGGCUGCACAGAGCUUGGAAAGAAUCGAAAUCGUUUUCGAGUCAGCGCGAGGUCCCGUAUGGAGAUGGGGAAGAUGAAGAGUAUCUAAGACUGUACGUACCGUUUCAUUAUCAGUUCGAGAAACCCCAGGGUUCACGAUUAAUUGGGGUUUGGAAACUUCACUUCAAGGUGUGAGAUUUUUAUAUUUUUCAUGUUGUAGCUAUCCGGUACUUUUCCGGAAUUUUCAGCGGGCUGUUCCAAACCAAAACUCCCUUAUUACUGACAAUUCACCAAAGUCCACAGUAAACUCUACCAUACAAGCACCGCGAAGAAAAUUUGUAGAUCAAGGAAAGCUACGUAAGGUUUUUUUCUGAUUCUGGUCCAUGACGGAGUUCGACACUGACUGCUGAUUCAGGGGCAAACACUAAUGCAAGUGUUGCAACAGUAAGCGGAAAUGGGAACAGCGCUGUGGGUUCUAAAUUGAGUUCUUUGGCACUUCGUUCUGUAACACUUCGGAAGGGACAUUCUUGGGAAAAUGAAAACAUAGAUGAAGGAGUUCGUGGGGAACCUUUUAAUGAUUCAAGGACUAAUACUGCCUCAAUGACUGGUUCUAUGGCUUCCAGUGAUGCUAAAUCCUGUGAUCAAGAAGACGAAACAAUGUCAAUUGGUGGCACAACGUUAAGUGCACAAAAAAAUCCCAGUUUGUGUUUCAGAAUUAGUUAGCCUCCUAAGGACACUCGGGGAAGGGUGUAGACUUUCGUACAUGUACAGGUGUAAGGAGGCACUGGAUACGUAUAUGAAACUUCUACAUAAGCAUUAUAAUACAGGAUGGGUUCUUUCCCAUCCUUUAAUAAGUGACCCUUCUCUCUUUCACGCUGUCUUGUUCAGUUUGGUGGGUGUGUAUAGACUUUUCAAAACGACGAACUUGAAGUGAAGUUUCCAAAGAGAAUCCGUGCAUGAAGUUUUAAUCUGGUUGCCUGUGAUAUACGUUGUUGAAGGUAUUUUGAUGGUUUAUGUACGAGCAAUGGCUAUUAAUGCAGGUCGGGAAAGCAUACUUUGAAUUAAUAGAUUAUUUAGAAGCUGAAAAAGCAUUCUGACUUGCUCGCCAGGCUUCUCCUUACAGUUUAGAGGGAAUGGAUAUAUACUCUACGGUCCUCUACCAUUUGAAGGAAGAUAUGAAGGCACCCUCACGGACAUUGCACCGGCCUGGUGCUACGGUCUAGAUGAACCAGGUGCAGCAAGAAACUAUCUUGCACCGUUUGUAAUUAAUUUACAGUGCUACUUCGACAGGAUCAGCAAAGAAUUAACCCCUCAAAGGCAGUUGAAUGAAGACGCUGUGUUAGUUGUUGAACAACUGAUGGUUCUGGUGCAGUAUACUGCUGAACUAUACCAAGAACUCCAAGUAUUGGAUCGAUUGGAAAAAGACUAUGAGCAAAAGCGUCGAGAAGAAGAGAACUCAGCUAGCAGCAGUAAAGGUAAACUAUCGAAGAUGGACUGAUUGUGGUAAUAGUAUUAGCUAGACACUUUGUAAUGUCUUUAGAAACUGUUGGGAGAGAAUGAACUUACUCACGUAAAGAGCUGUUUAAAUAUAUAAUUAUAUUUGGAUGGUAA
Long non-coding RNA from Eutrema salsugineum, 1739 nucleotides. RefSeq lists it as uncharacterized. The record is from RefSeq and is a predicted model, not a curated record. Lineage: Eukaryota; Viridiplantae; Streptophyta; Magnoliopsida; Brassicales; Brassicaceae. The transcript is spliced from 8 exons.